UUUAGUCUACUUUGGUGGUUCCCAAACUGCUACACAUUGGACUGAUCUGAGGAUCUGUGAAUGUGUAUACUAACGCCUGCUAGGCCCCCAGAAAGUCAUAUUUAAAUGGUUUGUAUGAGAGUGUGAUGUGGGCAUCAGGACUUUCCAAAGCUUUCCAGGUGAUGCUAAGGUGCAAAGUCUGGGAACUGCUGGGCUCGCAGGAGAGCGACGCUGUCAUACAUUGAUUGUGAAGCAGGAGAUGCUGUCCUCAGCGGUGACUCUCGCUGCCUGCGUGGGGACCUAAUGCUGCGGCAGAGCAGCUGCAGAAUCCCUGCCUGCCGAACUCAACCAGGAGGAAGCCUGUGACAGAUGCCUCUGCAUUUUAUGCAAAUAUCAACUUCAUGGAUCAGUUUUCCUUCCCUCUGUGGAAUAUAAGCAUCUGGAAAAUAGAAUUCCAAGAGCCUUUGCACAUUAACAAAUGAACAGAAAUGACCAAACCACACAGUUUCUUUAUCACCUUCAUUAACAUUAGGAUCUGGUGCAAAAGCCAGUUAAUUCACAUAGAAGAAGGUUUGAAGCUUUUGAAGAGGCUUAAAUAA
RNAcentral lists this long non-coding RNA (578 nucleotides) under Macaca mulatta (Rhesus monkey). Its description in RNAcentral is "lncRNA (ENSMMUG00000051936.1)". Lineage: Eukaryota; Metazoa; Chordata; Mammalia; Primates; Cercopithecidae. The record is from RNAcentral.